Molecule: RNA transcript, 3700 nt
Organism: Dunckerocampus dactyliophorus (ringed pipefish)
Lineage: Eukaryota; Metazoa; Chordata; Actinopteri; Syngnathiformes; Syngnathidae
Gene: ggh
Gene name: gamma-glutamyl hydrolase (conjugase, folylpolygammaglutamyl hydrolase)
Exons: 10
Source: RefSeq, a predicted model, not a curated record
AUGGCGGCAUGGGUUGAAAGUCCGAAGGUGAAUGGACUUCAAACGAUCGAUUAUUUUGGCCACGUCCUCUCACGCUGGUUGAAUUUGGAUGGCUUUUAUUGACGACUUCGAGGCCGCCGAGAGACGCUGCAUUUGCGGGAGGACCAAGUGGUCGUGUUGUACUUUUAGAAUCAUGUUUGUGCUUUUCUUUUGCGUUUAUCUGGCAUUCUUGCCGCUGUACUCCACAGCCACGAGGAAUGACAAGCCAGUCAUCGGCAUCCUGGCACAGGACCUUUACACACCUGAAGACAAUCAAACUGCGUACAUUGCUGCCUCUUACGUCAAGUUCCUGGAGUCAGCAGGUGCCAGGGUGGUCCCAAUUAUGAUCAACCAGCCUGAUGAGGAGUAUAAGAGACUAUUCAACUCCAUUAAUGGUGUUCUUUACCCCGGAGGAGCGGCCAGCAUCUUCUCAUCAGGCUACCAAAGGAGUGCAAAGUUCUUUUAUGAGAUGGCCGUUGAGGCCAAUCAGAGAGGAGAUUACUUCCCCAUUUGGGGUACCUGCCUGGGCUUUGAGCAGCUGCUGUUGCUGACCGGUGGAGUUUCACUGCUGACAGAGACGGACACGAGGGAUGUGUCCUUACCGCUCAGCUUCACUAAAGAGGCCAAAGACAGCAGAAUGUUCCGAGGUUUCCCGGCUGAACUCAUGGACGCUUUGGCGUCGCAGCCUCUGACUGAGAACUCUCACCGCUGGAGUUUGGCCGUGGAGGCGUACAACACAACCCAAGCGCUGAAGACGUUUUACAAAGUUCUCUCCACAAACACAGAUGGAACAACAGAGUUUUUGUCCACAGUGGAAGCGUUCGAUUAUCCAAUUUACGGCACCCAGUGGCACCCGGAGAAGAAUGCAUUCGAGUGGAGGAAGCCGUACAUCGCUCACAGCCCCUCUGCUGUCCAGGUCACCUUCUUUAUGGCGGAGUUCUUUGUGGGUGAAGCCAGGAAGAAUUAUCACAGCUUUGCGUCAGAGGAUGCGGAGGCCCAAGCGCUCAUAUACAACUUUAGUCCGGUGAAAACCCGGAAGAAGAGUGUCUUCGAGCAAGUGUAUUACUUUUAAGCUAAAAAGAGGCUACACUUAACUAUAUGGUGUAUUGUUAAUGCAGUGUAGGAUUGACAACAAUGCAAUCUAUAUAUUUUUGAUGUACAAUUUUUAACAAAAUUUAGCAUUAAUUUCAAAGAUUACAUAACCACAUAUACAAAACAUAAGUGAAUUAUAUUUUUCAAAUGUAAAUUGUAAAGAUAUUUGUGAAAUUAAACAGUCCAAAAACAUUGAAGGCAGAGUAAGUCUUUAUUUUGUCGUAGCCACCAUUUUAUUUCAUAAUCGCCGUUCCGUAAAAAAAAACAAAAAACUGAUGCAGCUAGUGGCCUUUUUAUGAUAUUCAACUUUAAUCCCAUAAGUGUAUAGUUAGAUGUAACCGUGGAAAAAGCUGUUGAAAUGCACAAAUUUUCCUCAGAAUAAAAUAACAUUUGCACAUCACAGUACAACCAGAAAUGUAAUUGACGCUACCCAUUAAAGAACAUUCAAGAUGUCAAACUGGCGCCGCGUUUAACAUAAAGACAUGCAGUGAAACAAAAUGUGCCUUAGUAAUUUCAAUUUGUACGACAAAGGCUAUCAGUUUUAAACCAACCAUGCAGAUUCUGUACAUUUUAGCAUUGUGCUAAUUCAUAUCACAUAGCCGUUUAUCCAGUGUUGCUUUUCAAAAUAUAGUUUACAAUGUUGAAAUUCAGUUUAGAAAGGAUAUUUUUGGGAGGAUAACACAGUACAAACAAUAGAAGGUACAGCUUUUAAGAGUCUGGCGAUAGCUGCUAAUGUGCUUGCUCGUUUCCGCGUUAGCUUCAUUUAAAGAAAGUGAAUCUUGUGGGAUAUAUCCUAAGGUAAGUCAGUUUACCUUUCACUGUGCACACUUCUACAAAGUUGUAAUCCAUCUUGUACAAAUGUCUACGUUCACGUUAGCUUGAGAAGAGCUAGCCUAACCAGUUUGUGUUUAGUUGUAUUUUGGGGAGGGUGGGGGCAAAAGUAAGGCAGUAAGGUGAGUGAAACAAGUAGCCGGUUAAAGAUGCCAACACAGUGGAAACAAAACGCUUGAACAAUCUCGUGGAUGCUUGUGUGCUACUUUACAUACAUUGAACAAUUGACAAAGCACAGUCCAACACAACGUUAGAAAACAGUGAUGCUACCAACCAGGUAUGUGAUGUUUUUUUAUUUGUCAUUAUGAUACAAGUUUUAAAGGUGUUCUUUCCCUUACACAGUGUAAGUCCUGCUUUUCCACUGCUGCACAUGAAUGGAUCAGUAUAUUCCACAGCGUCACUCUUAAUCCAGGUCCUCGUCCAAGAGCCUUUCUGGUAGCCUGAAGCAUUCCUCGAAGAAGUUGACCAGUGACUGACUGAGGUGCUGCUUGGUGCCCUCGUUGUGGAUGAAGUGGCCUUCAUCUGGGUAGAUCUGAGACAACAUGAAUGAAUGAGACAGACAGACAGACAGACAGACAGACAGACAGACAGACAGACAGACAGACAGACAGACAGACAGACAGACAGACAGACAGACAGACAGACAGACAGACACCAAAAACAUACUUGUAAUGUGUAGUUGGCCUUUUCAUGGAUGAGCUGAGCAAUCAUUUUUGCAGUAUGCUGGAAAUGGACCUUCUCUGCAAGGGAGGACACACUAUCAGAAUAUAUCUUUCCAUGUACAGCAUCAACUUCUUACCGUCUGCAGUUGGAUGGAUUAUGAGAAAUUUCUUGUCGACCAACUGAGCUGCCCGGUGUGCUACAUUGGCCAUCUGGGGACAAAAAUGCAGAAACACAACAGCUGCAAUGUUUACAAUGAUGAAUGACUCAUAAUUACCAUGUAUGCCCGGGGGUCAGGCUUGGGCAUCCCCAGGUACCGCUCUGAAAAAGCCGAUGCUGAAAGACAAGCAAGUUGUGUUUGUAAGAGCUGAGGGUGGCUUGGUCGCAUAUUAACGUCCCACUGAGGUGAGUAUUACUACUUUGCAAAAUAAAAAAUGACUAACCAUAUAAUUCAAAGUCUGUGAUUGGUGAGAGGACGGCACCGCAUCGGGCUGGAGAGAGGUCGUCGCUGAGCAACAAGCUGGUGAUGUAGCCUCCAUACUCCUGAGGGACAACAGCAGUCAUUUCUACCAAAUAACAUCUGCAAUUGGGAAACUUACCUUUCCAAACGCUCCCACUCUGGUCUUGUCAAUGUAGGGCUCUUGCAAAAUAAAACUGCAACACACAUGAAUACAAAUGAAAUGUAUUGUUUUAUUCCUGUGUCACAUGCCACGUACCUGAUGGCCUCCCUCUGGUCGUGCUCCUCCAACACGCCCACCUUCUUGUAGAUGCGAUGUAGCAGGUUGGUGCCCUGGAAGCCACUGCCCCGCCCAUCACAGCGCACCACAAUGGCGCCAAAGCUGCUCACCAGUGCUAUGGUCCAGUCCAUGUGGAAGCGCUCCGACACGCUCUGGCCACCGGGGGUGCCAUCGCUGCACGUGGGCCAUUUAGGAAUGACAAUUUGUUGGUUAUAUUAGUGUGUGUUUCACACUUACACAAGCAGCAGCAGAGGGUAGUGUGACGUGUCCACAAAGCCUGCAGGUUUGAGGAUCUGCAUUGAUAAAGCUGUGGAAGGCACACAGACAUUUUACCACAAUUACUUGCAUCCUUAUGUACAGUC